UCCUUUUGACAGAGGAGAGGAAGAAGGGC
This 29-nucleotide non-coding RNA is filed under the name Mus musculus (house mouse). The record is from RNAcentral. Lineage: Eukaryota; Metazoa; Chordata; Mammalia; Rodentia; Muridae.